Molecule: ribosomal RNA, 165 nt
Filed under: uncultured bacterium
Lineage: Bacteria
Description: partial 16S ribosomal RNA
Rfam family: Bacterial small subunit ribosomal RNA
Source: RNAcentral
UAGGGAAUCUUCGGCAAUGGACGAAAGUCUGACCGAGCAACGCCGCGUGAGUGAAGAAGGUUUUCGGAUCGUAAAACUCUGUUGGUAGAGAAGAACGUUGGUGAGAGUGGAAGGCUCAUCAAGUGACGGUAACUACCCAGAAAGGGACGGCUAACUACGUGCCAG